Molecule: long non-coding RNA, 201 nt
Filed under: Phoenix dactylifera (date palm)
Lineage: Eukaryota; Viridiplantae; Streptophyta; Magnoliopsida; Arecales; Arecaceae
Description: long non-coding RNA (PDAC_LNC003843)
Source: RNAcentral
UCACAAUCAAACCUAGUUGGUUUUUUCCGGUUCACCAACCACAACCUUACACUGUUGGUUUUAUCUUUGGCUCACCAACAAACCUUACUAUCCUUGAUUCAAUCCCCUGAUUGAAUCAAGUACAAAAGCAAGAGUUUAAAGUUCACAAGGAAAGCUUCUAAAAAGCAAAUAUGAAAUAAUAUAAAGGAGAUUGAGUUAGAA